UAAACGAAAGUUUGACUAAGUUAUAUUAAUCAGGGUUGGUAAAUCUCGUGCCAGCCACCGCGGUCAUACGAUUAACCCAAGCUAACAGGAAUACGGCGUAAAACGUGCUAAAGCACCACAUUAAAUAGGGUUAAAUUUUAAUUAAGCUGUAAAAAGCCAUGAUUAAAAUAAAAAUAAAUGACGAAAGUGACCCUACAACAGCCGAUGCACUAUAGCUAAGACCCAAACUGGGAUUAGAUACCCCACUAUGCUUAGCCCUAAACACAGAUAAUUACAUAAACAAAAUUAUUUGCCAGAGUACUACCAGCAACAGCUUAAAACUCAAAGGACUUGGCGGUGCUUUA
RNAcentral lists this ribosomal RNA (344 nucleotides) under Bos mutus (wild yak). Its description in RNAcentral is "partial 12S ribosomal RNA". It matches the Rfam family "Bacterial small subunit ribosomal RNA", at positions 458 to 923 of the family's 1533-position model. The record is from RNAcentral. Lineage: Eukaryota; Metazoa; Chordata; Mammalia; Artiodactyla; Bovidae.